UUGGAGGGCAAGUCUGGUGCCAGCAGCCGCGGUAAUUCCAGCUCCAAUAGCGUAUAUUAAAGUUGUUGCAGUUAAAAAGCUCGUAGUUGAAUUUCGGGGUUCUUCCGUUGGUCAGGCUAACAAGUCUGUACUAGCGUGUAGAAUCUCUACCUUCUGGGGAACCAUCAUGUUAUUAAUUUAGCGUGGUGGGAAACCAGGACCUUUACCUUGAAAAAAUUAGAGUGUUCAAAGCAGGCUUACGUCUGAAUACAUUAGCAUGGAAUAAUAAAAUAGGACGGUGGUCCUGUUUUGUUGGUUUCUGAAUCACCGUAAUGAUUAAUAGGGAUAGUUGGGGGCAUUAGUAUUCAAUUGUCAGAGGUGAAAUUCUUGGAUUUAUUGAAGACUAACUUCUGCGAAAGCAUUUGCCAAGGAUGUUUUCAUUAAUCAAGAACGAAAGUUAGGGGAUCGAAGACGAUCAGAUACCGUCGUAGUCUUAACCAUAAACUAUGCCGACUAGGGAUCGGACGAUGUUAAAUUUUAUUGACUCGUUCGGCGCCUUACGGGAAAC
This 547-nucleotide ribosomal RNA is filed under the name uncultured Glomeromycotina. RNAcentral describes it as "SSU rRNA". It matches the Rfam family "Eukaryotic small subunit ribosomal RNA", at positions 548 to 1098 of the family's 1831-position model. The record is from RNAcentral. Lineage: Eukaryota; Fungi; Glomeromycota. RNAcentral also lists the same sequence under 1 other name.